CCUACGGGCGGCAGCAGUGAGGAAUAUUGGUCAAUGGACGCGAGCCUGAACCAGCCAAGUAGCGUGAAGGAUGACUGCCCUACGGGUUGUAAACUUCUUUUAUAAAGGAAUAAAGCGCGGCACGUGCGCCUUUUUGCAUGUACUUUAUGAAUAAGGAUCGGCUAACUCCGUGCCAGCAGCCGCGGUAAUACGGAGGAUCCGAGCGUUAUCCGGAUUUAUUGGGUUUAAAGGGAGCGUAGAUGGGUUGUUAAGUCAGUUGUGAAAGGUUGCGGCUCAACCGUAAAAUUGCAAUUGAUACUGGCAGUCUUGAGUACAGUUGAGGCAGGCGGAAUUCGUGGUGUAGCGGUGAAAUGCUUAGAUAUCACGAAGAACCCCGAUUGCGAAGGCAGCUUACUAAACUGUGACUGACAUUGAUGCUCGAAAGUGUGGGUAUCAAACAGGAUUAGAUACCCCUGUAGUC
This 460-nucleotide ribosomal RNA is filed under the name uncultured bacterium. Its description in RNAcentral is "partial 16S ribosomal RNA". It matches the Rfam family "Bacterial small subunit ribosomal RNA", at positions 338 to 795 of the family's 1533-position model. The record is from RNAcentral.